AGUGAACGCUAGCGGCAGGCUUAACACAUGCAAGUCGAGGGGUAUAGGUUUUCGGACCUAGAGACCGGCGCACGGGUGCGUAACGCGUAUGCACCGAUCUACCUUUUACAGAGGGAUAGCCCAGAGAAAUUUGGAUUAAUACCUCAUAGUAUUGUUGAAUGGCAUCAUUUAAUAAUUAAAGUUCCAAGACCGGUAAAAGAUGAGCAUGCGUCCCAUUAGCUAGAUGGUAAGGUAACGGCUUACCAUGGCGACGAUGGGUAGGGGUCCUGAGAGGGAGAUCCUGACCCACACUGGUACUGAGACACGGACCAGACUCCUACGGGAGGCAGCAGUGAGGAAUAUUGGUCAAUGGGCGCAAGCCUGAACCAGCCAUGCGGGCGCGUGCAGGAUGACGGUCCUAUGGAUUGUAAACUGCUUUUGUACAGGAAGAAACAGUUCUACGUGUAGAACCUUGACGGUACUGUAAGAACCGUAAGGAUCGGCUAACUCCGUGCCAGCAGCCGCGGUAAUACGGAGGAUCCAAGCGUUAUCCGGAAUCAUUGGGUUUAAAGGGUCCGUAGGCGCCCGUUUUGUAAGUCAGUGGUGAAAGCCCAUCGCUCAACGGUGGAACGGCCAUUGAUACUGCAAGACUUGAAUUACUAGGAAGUAACUAGAAUAACAUGUAGUGUAGCGGUGAAAUGCUUAGAUAUUACAUGGAAUACCAAUUGCGAAGGCAGGUUACUACUAGUGGAUUGACGCUGAUGGACGAAAGGUACGUGGGGAGCGAACAGGAUUAGAUACCCUGGUAGUCCACGCCGUAAACGAUGGAUACUAGCUGUUCGGAGCAAUCUGAGUGGCUAAGCGAAGUCAGUGAUAAGUAUCCCACCUGGGGAGUACGUUCGCAAGAAUGAAACUCAAAGGAAUUGACGGGGGCCCGCACAAGCGGUGGAGCAUGUGGUUUUCUAAUUCGAUGAUACGCGAGGAACCUUACCAAGGCUUAAAUGUAGAUUGACAGGGCUGGAAACGGUUUUUUCUUCGGACAAUUUACAAGGUGCGUCUGCAUGGUUGUCGUCAGCUCGUGCCGUGAGGUGUCAGGUUAAGUCCUAUAACGAGCGCAACCCCUGUUGUUAGUUGCCAGCGAGUCAUGUUGACGGGAACUCUAACAAGACUGCCAGUGUAAACUGUGAGGAAGGUGGGGAUGACGUCAAAUCAUCACGGCCCUUACGCCUUGGGCUACACACGUCGUGCUACAAUGGCCGGUACAGAGAGCAGCCACUGGGCGACCAGGAGCGAAUCUAUAAAACCGGUCACAGUUCGGAUCGGAGUCUGCAACUCGAUUACUCCGUGAAGCUGGAAUCGCUAGUAAUCGGAUAUCAGCCAUGAUCCGGUGAAUACGUUCCCGGGCCUUGUACACACCGCCCGUCAAGCCAGGUUGGAAGCUGGGGGUGCCUGAAGUCGGUGACCGCAAGGAGCUGCCUAGGGUAAAACUGGUAACUAGGGCU
RNAcentral lists this ribosomal RNA (1481 nucleotides) under uncultured bacterium. Its description in RNAcentral is "bacterial SSU rRNA". It matches the Rfam family "Bacterial small subunit ribosomal RNA". The record is from RNAcentral.